Non-coding RNA from Mycobacterium kansasii, 122 nucleotides. Lineage: Bacteria; Bacillati; Actinomycetota; Actinomycetes; Mycobacteriales; Mycobacteriaceae. The record is from Rfam.
GAAGGUUUUGUGGCCCUUCGGCGUCGUCCUUUCGGGGGAUGGCGUCAAACCACCUCGAGCUGCGUUGGCUGAAGACCGUCGUGGUGAGCGUCGAGGAAAAGGCGGCGUGCGAGUCGUCAGGU